Molecule: ribosomal RNA, 519 nt
Filed under: uncultured bacterium
Lineage: Bacteria
Description: bacterial SSU rRNA
Rfam family: Bacterial small subunit ribosomal RNA
Source: RNAcentral
AGAGUUUGAUCCUGGCUCAGGACGAACGCUGGCGGCGCGCCUAACACAUGCAAGUCGAACGGAGUUAUUUUGGCAGAAGCCUUCGGGUGGACGCUGAUAUAACUUAGUGGCGAACGGGUGAGUAACACGUGAGCAACCUGCCCUUCAGAGGGGGACAACAGUUGGAAACGACUGCUAAUACCGCAUAAGACCACGGUGUGGCAUCACACAGAGGUCAAAGGAGAAAUCCGCUGAAGGAUGGGCUCGCGUCCAAUUAGCUAGAUGGUGAGGUAACGGCCCACCAUGGCGACGAUUGGUAGCCGGACUGAGAGGUUGAUCGGCCACAUUGGGACUGAGACACGGCCCAGACUCCUACGGGAGGCAGCAGUGGGGAAUAUUGCACAAUGGAGGAAACUCUGAUGCAGCGACGCCGCGUGAGGGAAGAAGGUCUUCGGAUUGUAAACCUCUGUUGUCAGGGACGAUAAUGACGGUACCUGACGAGGAAGCCACGGCUAACUACGUGCCAGCAGCCGCGGUAAA